RNAcentral lists this non-coding RNA (29 nucleotides) under Rattus norvegicus (Norway rat). Lineage: Eukaryota; Metazoa; Chordata; Mammalia; Rodentia; Muridae. The record is from RNAcentral.
UGCCAAGUCCAAAGGUCAGCUUCCUUGUA